UAGGUCUCCAGAGAUUCUUAUUUUGUGGCCU
RNAcentral lists this non-coding RNA (31 nucleotides) under Mus musculus (house mouse). The record is from RNAcentral. Lineage: Eukaryota; Metazoa; Chordata; Mammalia; Rodentia; Muridae.